This 412-nucleotide ribosomal RNA is filed under the name uncultured bacterium. Its description in RNAcentral is "bacterial SSU rRNA". It matches the Rfam family "Bacterial small subunit ribosomal RNA", at positions 97 to 512 of the family's 1533-position model. The record is from RNAcentral.
GGCGGACGGGUGAGGAACACGUAGACUGACCUGCCCUGGAUGAGGGGGGAUAACGCGGGGAAACCCGAGCUAAGACCCCAUAUAAGCUCACGAUAAUUAUGAUAGUUGUGAGAAAAGGCUCCGUGUGCUCCAGGAGGGGUCUGCGGCCCAUCAGGUAGUUGGGGGGGUAACUGGCCCAUCCAAGCCAUUGACGGUGUAGGGGACCUGAUGAGGGUGACCCCCCACACGGGGUACUGAGACACGGCCCGACUCAUACGGGUAGGCAGCAGUAAGGGAUAUUGCACAAUGGGCGCAAGCCUGAUGCAGCAACGCCGCGUGCCCGAUGAAGGCCUUCGGGUCGUAAAGGGCUUUUCUGGCUGAAGAGGAAGGACAGUAAGCCAGGAAAUAAGUGUCGGCUAACUAGCGUGCCAGC